RNAcentral lists this long non-coding RNA (319 nucleotides) under Homo sapiens (human). RNAcentral's name for it is "HSALNT0344884". Lineage: Eukaryota; Metazoa; Chordata; Mammalia; Primates; Hominidae. The record is from RNAcentral.
AGCCAAACUCCCUUCAUUCCAACUUCCACCAAAACCACUUCUCUGGAUCCAUCCCUGGAGUUGACACAACAGGGAUCUUCAGCCCCAGAAAGCCCUUGAGACGUUCUCCUUGAAGCUCCCCUAGGUGGGAGUAGAAGUUCAUCUCCUGACACUCCACGUUUUAUUCAUGAGUCCUGAGUUAUGACACAGAGGACACAGUUGUGCUCCCCUUACUAUGGACUAGCAGAUAAAGCACCUUAACCACUCAGCCACCAUGCAAACCCUUCUUAUAUUUGAUUCAAUAUACUUUUCCGCAAGCAAAAUAAAAGUUCUGACCAAG